UCCUGGUUAACCCAGGCAGUCUCAUUAGAGUUCCCAGCCGAACUGUUGGCAACUAAUGACAAGGGUUGCGCUCGUUGCGGGACUUAACCCAACACCUCACGGCACGAGCUGACGACAGCCAUGCAGCACCUGUAAAGCGGUCUGUAAAGAAAGCUACAUUUCUGUAGCGGUCCACUCUAUGUCAAGCCUAGGUAAGGUUCUUCGCGUUGCAUCGAAUUAAACCACAUGCUCCACUGCUUGUGCGGGUCCCCGUCAAUUCUUUUGAGUUUCACCCUUGCGAGCGUACUCCCCAGGCGGUGUACUUAACGCGUUAGCUACGGCACAACUGAGGUUGAGUUCAGUUACACCAAGUACACAUCGUUUACGGCUAGGACUAC
This 377-nucleotide unclassified non-coding RNA is filed under the name uncultured Criblamydiaceae bacterium. Its description in RNAcentral is "contains 16S-23S intergenic spacer region". Lineage: Bacteria; Pseudomonadati; Chlamydiota; Chlamydiia; Parachlamydiales; Candidatus Criblamydiaceae. The record is from RNAcentral.